RNAcentral lists this ribosomal RNA (540 nucleotides) under Psilocybe hispanica. RNAcentral describes it as "eukaryotic LSU rRNA". It matches the Rfam family "Eukaryotic large subunit ribosomal RNA", at positions 75 to 622 of the family's 3401-position model. The record is from RNAcentral. Lineage: Eukaryota; Fungi; Basidiomycota; Agaricomycetes; Agaricales; Agrocybaceae.
UUCCCCUAGUAACUGCGAGUGAAGCGGGAAAAGCUCAAAUUUAAAAUCUGGCGGUCUUUGGCUGUCCGAGUUGUAAUCUAGAGAAGUGUUAUCCGCGCUGGACCGUGUACAAGUCUCCUGGAAUGGAGCGUCAUAGAGGGUGAGAAUCCCGUCUUUGACACGGACUGCCAGGGCUUUGUGAUGCGCUCUCAAAGAGUCGAGUUGUUUGGGAAUGCAGCUCAAAAUGGGUGGUAAAUUCCAUCUAAAGCUAAAUAUUGGCGAGAGACCGAUAGCGAACAAGUACCGUGAGGGAAAGAUGAAAAGAACUUUGGAAAGAGAGUUAAACAGUACGUGAAAUUGCUGAAAGGGAAACGCUUGAAGUCAGUCGCGUUGUCCGGGGAUCAACCUUGCUUUUGCUGGGUGUACUUUCCGGUUGACGGGUCAGCAUCAAUUUUGACCGUUGGAUAAAGGUUUUGGGAAAGUGGCUUCCUCGGAAGUGUUAUAGCCCAGGGUCGCAUACAACGGUUGGGAUUGAGGAACUCAGCACGCCGAAAGGCCGGG